UCGAGAAUUUUUCACAAUGGGCGCAAGCCUGAUGGAGCGACGCCGCGUGGGGGAUGAAUGGCUUCGGCCCGUAAACCCCUGUCAUUUGCGAUCAACCGUUAUUAUUUAAAAGAUGAUAACCUGAUAGUAGCGAAAGAGGAAGGGACGGCUAACUCUGUGCCAGCAGCCGCGGUAAUACAGAGGUCCCAAGCGUUGUUCGGAUUUACUGGGCGUAAAGGGUGCGUAGGUGGUGGGGUAAGUCGGAUGUGAAAUCUCCGAGCUCAACUCGGAAACUGCAUUGGAAACUACUCUGCUUGAGGGUUGGAGGGGGGACUGGAAUACUUGGUGUAGCAGUGAAAUGCGUAGAUAUCAAGUGGAACACCAGUGGCGAAGGCGAGUCCCUGGACAACUCCUGACACUGAGGCACGAAAGCUAGGGGAGCAAACAGG
Molecule: ribosomal RNA, 428 nt
Filed under: uncultured bacterium
Lineage: Bacteria
Description: bacterial SSU rRNA
Rfam family: Bacterial small subunit ribosomal RNA
Source: RNAcentral